Molecule: transfer RNA, 72 nt
Organism: Aeromicrobium marinum DSM 15272
Lineage: Bacteria; Bacillati; Actinomycetota; Actinomycetes; Propionibacteriales; Nocardioidaceae
Rfam family: tRNA
About the family: Transfer RNA (tRNA) molecules are approximately 80 nucleotides in length. Their secondary structure includes four short double-helical elements and three loops (D, anti-codon, and T loops).
Source: Rfam
UGGGGUAUGGUGUAAUUGGCAACACGGCUGAUUCUGGUUCAGUUGUUCUAGGUUCGAGUCCUAGUACCCCAG